GAGCUGUUUUUCCUUCCCCCCAUGUCUUGGCCUGGGAGUCCCUGAUUCCAAAUUUAUAUAAUGAGGAGGGAGGGGGUUUACAUUCUGCAUUGCAGGGAGGGAUUUUCCUGCCUUUCUCGGCAAAUACCUGCCUUUACCAGCUAGGAAGUGCACGGAAGUGAGGCAGGGAAAUGACAGGAGGGACCAGCUGUAAAUUCAAAGGCAGAAAGAGCAGAUGUACCAGCACAGGGCAGGAAAGGGGAAAGGUUUCAGAAAGCAUUUCUGUGGUCUAAUUAAUGAUAAUUUCUGAUUCCCCAGGGAGAAGAACACCAACUCACAGCCACUCAGGCCUGGCAGUCCCUGCAGUGAGAGCUCAGCACACAUCGACAGAGGCAAGUCCAGCAUCUGAAAGAAGAAAAAUAAACAGAAGAAAAAGGUUCUUGUUCCAGAGGUGCUCUGAUCCCAGAGCCAUACAGGGUCUGUAGUCUUGAUAAAUGGGAAUGAAAUUGGCCCAGUCUGUCAGGAAAGCAAAAACAUCCUGGGGUUUGUUUGGCCAAAGACGGACCAUGAAGAUGUCUGUACUUCCAGUGGGGGGAGAAGAACACCAACUCACAGCCACUCAGGCCUGGCAGUCCCUGCAGCGAGAGCUCAGCACACAUCGACAGAGGCAAGUCCAGCAUCUAACAGAAGAAAAAUAAACAGAAGAAAAAGGGAAAGAGGCCACCUUUUGCGUCUAGGGCCCUGUCACGGCGACUGUGCUCUACCCACUAUAAUUUCAAACGGAUCAGGAUUUAUCGUGGCUUCAAGCGGGCUCCAUAUGAGUCCUGACUGCCUUUGCAGUGCAAAAUACCUCUUCUAAACUGCGAUUAUGCUUCUGGGAGGGGGAGUUUUGGUUCAGAGGGCAAAGCGCCAAUGUUCUCGUCCGGGCCCUGUUCCUGCGACCCGACUUCCAUCUGCUACAACGCCAGACAGAUCAGGAUUUCUCCCAGACACAAGCUGCUAGCACUUAGAACCCCGGCUGCCUUUGCAGUGCAAAACAGCUCCUCCCUACUGAUGUCACAGAACUGGAAUUUCCUCAUCUCAAAUUCAAGUCUGAGAAGCCAAACAGCCACAUUAUUCUGAGGCCUUUUAUACCUCGUGGGAUUUGCUCCUCCUUUUCCUGCAAAGGAGGGGUGGUCCCAAUCAGGGGUCUAUUUUGUGAUGAUGGCAUCAGAUGGAGUGCAGCU
Catharus ustulatus (Swainson's thrush) is the source of this 1205-nucleotide long non-coding RNA. RefSeq lists it as uncharacterized. The record is from RefSeq and is a predicted model, not a curated record. The transcript has 6 exons. Lineage: Eukaryota; Metazoa; Chordata; Aves; Passeriformes; Turdidae.